GGGUCAGUAGGUUGGUCGUGCCACCGGUACGUACUGGUCUCACUGAUUCCUCCUUCCUGAAGAACCGUAAUGCCAUUAAUUUGGUGUUGCGGGGAAACAGGACUGUUACUUUGAAAAAAUUAGAGUGUUUAAAGCAAGCUAACGCUUGAAUACAUUAGCAUGGAAUGAUGAAAUAGGACGAUCGAUCCUAUUUUGUUGGUUUCUAGGAUUGACGUA
Molecule: ribosomal RNA, 216 nt
Filed under: Glomeromycotina sp.
Lineage: Eukaryota; Fungi; Glomeromycota
Description: partial small subunit ribosomal RNA
Rfam family: Eukaryotic small subunit ribosomal RNA (bases 40-216)
Source: RNAcentral